Molecule: long non-coding RNA, 1312 nt
Filed under: Junco hyemalis (dark-eyed junco)
Lineage: Eukaryota; Metazoa; Chordata; Aves; Passeriformes; Passerellidae
Description: lncRNA (ENSJHYG00000008403.1)
Source: RNAcentral
GUGUCCGUUGUUUUCCUGCUCAAUUUUGGGGCCAUUUUUCAUUAUUUUGUUGUCAGGGGUUCAUCCCCUUCUCUCUAAGCCCCCAAAAUCCUCUGAAACCCCCCAAAAUUUGUGUCCCCGCCUCCGUCUCCCUCACAGAGGCGCCGCCAUUUUGGGCCAGUUUUGAGGCCAUCCUGGAACCAUUUUGGGCCCUUUUUGGGCAAUUUUGGCCCAUUUCAGAGUCUGGGGUUAACCCCCUUCCCAUUUUACCACCUAAAUCCGUCUCAAACCUCCCCAAAAUUGUCUAAAAUUGCGUCCCCACCGUCCCCACCCAGCCGCCAUUUUGAGGCCGUCCUGAGCCCCUUCCGGAGCCACUUUGGGGCCAUUUUGAGCAAUUUUGGGGCCAUUUUGAGCAAUUUUGGGGCUGUUUGGAUCCAUUUUGGGUCAGGGGUUCACCCCCUUCCCCUUGAACCCCCAAAAUUCUCCUCAAUUCUCCCAAACCUGUCCAAAAUUGCGUCCCCACACCGUCCUCACGCAGCCGCCAUUUUGAGACCAUUCCGAGCCUGUUCUGGAGCCAUUUUGGGGCAAUUUUGAGCAAAUUUGGGGCCAUUUUGGGGUCCCUUAAAAACAGUUUGGACUGUUUUGGGGUCAGGGGUUCACCCCCUGCCCCUUUUACCCCUAAAUUUGUCCUUAAACUUCCCAAAAUCCUCCAAAUUGUCGUCCCCGUUGUCCUCACGCAGCCGCCAUUUUGAGGCCGUCCCGGAGCCAUUUUGGGGCCGUUUUGAGCCAUUUUGGGGCCGUUUUGAGCCAUUUUGGGGCCGUUUUGAGCCGUUUUGGGGCCGUUUUGGGGCCGGGGGCCGGCGCCUGACGCGCCCCCCCCCUUUUGUCUCCCCCAGACAUGUCGAGCCGCGCCGUGUGCCGCCACUUCAUGCUCAAGGGCAGCUGCAGGUACGAGAACAACUGUGCCUUCUACCACCCCGGCGUCAACGGGCCCCCCCUGCCCUGAAACCCCCCAAAAACACCCCAAAAACACCCAAAACCACCCCAAAAUCCCCCCUCGGUUAUGGCUUCCGUGAGGCCUCGGAGGGGGACGAGGGGGCGGAGAAAGAACGGAGGAAAAAGGGGGAAAAUUCAAAUUAUUGGUGUUGGGGUGUGGUGGUGGUGGUGGAGGGGAUGGGGAGUGGAGAUUUGGGGUGAAAAUUGGAGAUUUGGGGUAGGAAUUGGGGUAAAACUGGAAAUUUGGGGUAGGAAUUGGACAUUUUUUGUAGAAAUUGGAGAUUUGGGGUGAAAAUUAUAAAUUUGAGGCAGGAAUUGGAAGUUUGGUGUAAAACUU